GAGGAUAUAGCUCAGUGGUAGAGUGCAUGCCUAGCAUGCACAAGGCCCUGGGUUCAAUCCUCAGUACCUCCG
This 72-nucleotide transfer RNA is filed under the name Camelus bactrianus (Bactrian camel). It matches the Rfam family "tRNA". From Rfam's summary of the family: Transfer RNA (tRNA) molecules are approximately 80 nucleotides in length. Their secondary structure includes four short double-helical elements and three loops (D, anti-codon, and T loops). RNAcentral also lists the same sequence under 2 other names. The record is from Rfam by way of RNAcentral. Lineage: Eukaryota; Metazoa; Chordata; Mammalia; Artiodactyla; Camelidae.